Molecule: long non-coding RNA, 354 nt
Organism: Physella acuta
Lineage: Eukaryota; Metazoa; Mollusca; Gastropoda; Physidae
Source: RefSeq, a predicted model, not a curated record
GGUUGUAUAGACAUACCAGCUUCAGAAGAACAAGUCACUGGGUUAUCAUACACUUGUAAAGAUUGUCCUCUUGGUUAUCAACUGAAUUCUAAAAAAACCAAGUGUGAAGAUGUUGAUGAAUGUAAGAUAACCCCACCUUGUGGUGCAUAUGCUAUAUGUGAUAAUAAUUACGGUAGUUUUGUUUGUAACUGCCCAAAAGGCUUCAGAAAAUCUGGAUCACUCAAUUGUGUUGACAUCAACGAAUGCUCAGAGAAAUCACAUGACUGUGAUCAAAUAUGUUUUAACACCUUAGGAAGUUAUGAUUGCAGAUGUUACACAGGGUUUACUAGGACUGGUGGCAAAUGUGAACUGACA